UGGGGAAUCUUCCGCAAUGGACGAAAGUCUGACGGAGCAACGCCGCGUGAGUGAUGAAGGCCUUCGGGUUGUAAAACUCUGUUGUCAGGGACGAAAGCACCGAUCUAUAAUACAUUUUGGUGUUGACGGUACCUGACGAGGAAGCCACGGCUAACUACGUGCCAGCAGCCGCGGUAAUACGUAGGUGGCGAGCGUUGUCCGGAAUUAUUGGGCGUAAAGGGAGCGCAGGCGGGAGAUCAAGUCUAUCUUAAAAGUGCGGGGCUCAACCCCGUGAGGGGAUGGAAACUGGUCUUCUUGAGUGCAGGAGAGGAAAGCGGAAUUCCUAGUGUAGCGGUGAAAUGCGUAGAUAUUAGGAGGAACACCAGUGGCGAAGGCGGCUUUCUGGACUGUAACUGACGCUGAGGCUCGAAAGCGUGGGGAGCGAACAGGAUUAGAUACCCUGGUAGU
Molecule: ribosomal RNA, 447 nt
Filed under: uncultured Mitsuokella sp.
Lineage: Bacteria; Bacillati; Bacillota; Negativicutes; Selenomonadales; Selenomonadaceae
Description: bacterial SSU rRNA
Rfam family: Bacterial small subunit ribosomal RNA
Source: RNAcentral